UGAUGCACACUAUUAAAGGGGCUGUAAUCAAUAAACAGAACAUGAAUAUAGCAGUAAACAACUAUUUGCUAUGU
Molecule: long non-coding RNA, 74 nt
Organism: Etheostoma spectabile (orangethroat darter)
Lineage: Eukaryota; Metazoa; Chordata; Actinopteri; Perciformes; Percidae
Exons: 3
Source: RefSeq, a predicted model, not a curated record